GAUGAACGCUGGCGGCGUGCCUAAUACAUGCAAGUCGAGCGAACGGACGAGAAGCUUGCUUCUCUGAUGUUAGCGGCGGACGGGUGAGUAACACGUGGAUAACCUACCUAUAAGACUGGGAUAACUUCGGGAAACCGGAGCUAAUACCGGAUAAUAUUUUGAACCGCAUGGUUCAAAAGUGAAAGACGGUCUUGCUGUCACUUAUAGAUGGAUCCCCGCUGCAUUAGCUAGUUGGUAAGGUAACGGCUUACCAAGGCAACGAUGCAUAGCCGACCUGAGAGGGUGAUCGGCCACACUGGAACUGAACCACGGUCCAGACUCCUACGGGAGGCAGCAGUAGGGAAUCUUCCGCAAUGGGCGAAAGCCUGACGGAGCAACGCCGCGUGAGUGAUGAAGGUCUUCGGAUCGUAAAACUCUGUUAUUAGGGAAGAACAUAUGUGUAAGUAACUGUGCACAGCUUGACGGUACCUAAUCAGAAAGCCACGGCUAACUACGUG
RNAcentral lists this ribosomal RNA (497 nucleotides) under uncultured bacterium. RNAcentral describes it as "partial 16S ribosomal RNA". It matches the Rfam family "Bacterial small subunit ribosomal RNA", at positions 28 to 507 of the family's 1533-position model. The record is from RNAcentral.